AUUUCUCUCGCCGACCUGCUCCGUUGAAAUCAAACACUCGACCCCUCCGAUGGCCUUAAAAUGGCUUUUCCCAUCAAUGCGGGCGUGUUACACUAUGGCCGCCGCUGUCAAUAGUCGGGUGAAAUUUAUGGACGGGUUAUUAAUUAUACGACCUAUCGUUAUGACGAUAAGUUGGAGGACGGCGGUCAUCAUGCCAUCUGGGUCAGUCUGUGUCGGCUUGACUGCUUUAGUGUGAAGGCAAUAUGUCGUAAAAGAAGAUGAAGUCAUUGGGAAGUCCUUUUCUGACGUACAAGACAUUAAAAUGUUUCGAACAAAUUUUCAAAAGAUUUUUACGCGCGUUUAUAUCAGUUCCGCAUUUUGACAGUUCAAGUCAAGUUUGUUGACCGCAACCUUCGCUCAAAGAGUCAAACGGAAAAUGAGAGCGAUCCAUUUAGGCCAAUUUUUAUCGUACAAAAAUCCCAGUAGUUGGUAUAUGUUUAGGUCAAAACCCAUUUAACUGCUUGCUCCGAUUAUUGCAGAGCGGUCAAAUUUUAUACGUAGGAAUAAAAAUGAACGAUGAAACAAAUUUGCAUAAAUGGCACCACGUCGUUUUUCUUUUUUAGUCGAGAAAAUUCCAGUUUUGUCGGCCGGCCGGCACAUUCCGCAAGUUUACACGCUAUAGUGUGUUUGUGUGCGAUACAUUCCAGCAAGCUGAUGGUUGCCGGACAUCGGUGGGCAUUGACCGAUACAGUUAUUACACGGAUGUAAAAUAAUUCCUAUCGUUUAGGAAAAACAAGCUUAACUUUUUCUGGGACUUGAUAGACGAAUCAUCUUAAGCCUUAUUCGCUUUGUAAACUGGAGAUAUCAUGGUGUAUCAAAACUCAGUUAUUUCUUUGCACCUGAAAGGACAUCAGGGCAAUGUGUAUGAUCUUGAAUGGAACAAGAAUGAAGGCGGAGAGGGUUGGCGUUUACUUUCCUGCGGUGCGGACUGCACUGCUCGAGUUUGGAACGAUUCCAAUGACGUGGUUUUGUCUCAUCCAGCUUACGUGUACAGCGCCCGUUUCGGCGAAUCCGACGACCGUGUAGUCACUGGAUGUUUCGAUCAGCUGAUACGGUUAUGGGAAUUGAAUUCAUCGUCACCUCGUCUAAUAAGCACCUAUGUCCAGCACAGGGCACCGAUCAACAGCCUCUGCUGGGACUCCCAUGGAAGAUUAUUUAGCGCAGAUGCGAAAGGUUCCAUUUGUGUCUGGAACUCGACCAUUUCUGGCUUACAUUUUGAAAAGAUCCUCAACGAAUCUAGUGAAGAAUAUCGCAAUGAAACUCCCAUCAACUGCCUCUGCUUUCAUCCUUCUGGAGGCAGAUUACUAGUCCACUACAGAGGAAGUGAGAUGUGUUUGCUCGAGCCAAAGUCGGGUCUUAAAUUGAUUUCGUACAGUGGCAUCUAUAACCCAAGGCUGAGACUGGCAAGUAGCAUCAGUCCGUGCGGUGGUUACGUGAUAUCCGGCAGUGAGGAUGGUUCUGUUCACUGGUUUGAUUUGGAGCGGGGUGAUCUUGUAGCCGUUACAACCUUGGCCACGUCUACAAUUGAUCCCGUCAUGGCGGUCGCUUUCCACCCCACUUGUCACGCCAUAGCCUUAAGUGUUCAUUGAGCUCGCAAUGUUCUCUUUCAGUUUUGGAAUUUUGAAGCGUUUUCCAUGUAUUAACUCAGGUUACUUAUAUAUUUUCUUACUGGAUUACUGGAAGGAAUGGGAGAGUGGAAGGAGUAGAAGAAGCGUCUGGAGAAUCAGUGGAAAAGCCAUAAUCCGGAGGACCAGUGAGAAACGAAUCAUAAAAUGAAAUUAAGGACCACCAGGAGUACCAGGAGUACCAGGAGUACCAGGAGCACCAGGAGCACCAGGAGGACCAGGAAUUCCAGGAACACCAUCAAGACCUGUCAAAUAUUACAAAGCGAUUAAAAUGUUUAAAAAAUGUACUUCCAUCACAUUCCACUAAAUGAAACAUGUUUUAAUUACCGGGUGGUCCUCUCAGUGAAUUUGUCAACAAAUUUAACCAUCCAAGUAAACGAGGGUUUGAUCCCGA
Molecule: unclassified non-coding RNA, 2058 nt
Filed under: Daphnia pulicaria
Lineage: Eukaryota; Metazoa; Arthropoda; Branchiopoda; Diplostraca; Daphniidae
Description: jouberin-like, transcript variant X3
Source: RNAcentral